AGAGUUUGAUCAUGGCUCAGGACGAACGCUGGCGGCGUGCUUAACACAUGCAAGUCGAGCGGAAAGGCCCUUUCGGGGGUACUCGAGCGGCGAACGGGUGAGUAACACGUGAGUAAUCUGCCCUUGGCUUUGGGAUAACUACCGGAAACGGUGGCUAAUACCGGAUAUGACCAUGCUCGGCAUCGGGUGUGGUGGAAAGUUUUUCGGCCAGGGAUGUGCUCGCGGCCUAUCAGCUUGUUGGUGGGGUAAUGGCCUACCAAGGCUUCGACGGGUAGCCGGCCUGAGAGGGUGACCGGCCACACUGGGACUGAGACACGGCCCAGACUCCUACGGGAGGCAGCAGUGGGGAAUAUUGGACAAUGGGCGGAAGCCUGAUCCAGCAACGCCGCGUGAGGGAUGACGGCCUUCGGGUUGUAAACCUCUUUCAGUACCGACGAAGCGCCGAUGAUGGUGGUGACGGUAGGUACAGAAGAAGCACCGGCCAACUACGUG
RNAcentral lists this ribosomal RNA (492 nucleotides) under uncultured bacterium. Its description in RNAcentral is "bacterial SSU rRNA". It matches the Rfam family "Bacterial small subunit ribosomal RNA", at positions 8 to 507 of the family's 1533-position model. The record is from RNAcentral.